Ictalurus punctatus (channel catfish) is the source of this 22204-nucleotide long non-coding RNA. NCBI's taxonomy places the organism in Eukaryota, Metazoa, Chordata, Actinopteri, Siluriformes, Ictaluridae. The record is from Ensembl.
CUCUGGGUAAAGACCGUGUCAGGCGCUCGGCGUACUGCAGCGUCUGGGGACCAUAAAUAGGGACGGACUGAUUCUGCUUCCUGUCAGCAGCCAGCACAGAGGACGAGGACGUGGUGUAUUGGAUGUGAGACAGAGAGCCAGCUAGAGAUACGGCAAGGUGUCGCUUCCGCUUGUAGCGCACCACACUAUACAGAGAAACUUUCACCCAGAAUGCAUAGCAGCAAGCAGCAUGUGGUGUGCGGCUGAGUUCCUGUCUCGCUUUCAGAAGGACCUCUGCACCAGCACCACACACAGGUAUGAGCUAAACGAUCGUCUUUAUAUGCACACACACACACACACACACACACACACACACGUUAUUCAAAUUUUUAGUGUCCAACACCUUCAUACACCUCUGCUAACACAUGGUGUUGUUUUAAACACAUUACUGAUGCAAGCUAUUUCAUUUUUUUCCAAUACAAACUACGAAUAUUACAAAACGCUCCUUUUGGAUUCGAGUAAGUUCACUGAGACGCAGAACCGGACGGAGUCCGGGCGGUGUUCGGGGGGUAUUUAGAUUUCACAGGUCAAAGCCAUUCUGAUGCGUCGAGGCAUAUUUUAUUGAUUUCCAGAGUUAGGCUAGUCGUGCCAUUCUUCUUCCUGUGUGGUCUGAUAGAGCGGACAGGAAGUGCAGCAAUCGAACAAGAUAUGCGUUUGACUUCAUGCUAUUUUUACGCGACGAAUGCUGACUCAUGCAGCAGUAAAAAAUACUCCAUGCGCUGUACUUUAUUAACUUUAUUAAAUAUUUAUCUCACUUUUAAAUGCACUACUUUUAUAAAAGAGCUACUCAUAGAGGCGGGUUUAUAGAGCGUAUAUCCUAAGAUGGACUGAAAUGAAGAAAAUAAAAGAUUUUACAGAAAUGUUACCUAUAAAUGAAAAUGCUUGAAUCUUUACUUAAUACAUUUGUGACUUUAAUAAAUGGUACUUAAGCAAUUUCAUGCUUGUGGCUUUGUGGAUGUUGGACCUUUCGCAAGUUACUUCUGCUUUUACUCGAGUGGCUUUCUGGAUUAGCGCUGCAUACUGAUCUUGAAUGUUAAAAUAGCAUUAUGUGGUGUUGAAAUUUUUAAGCUCCAUUAGUGAAUUUGAGACUUUCCCCUCCAAAUGCACUAUUUGAAUAGCGUUCCUGCCACUAAACAUGCAGCUUCAGCGUGUAAUAGCGUUAUUAAUGCACGGCUGUAGAAGCAGAGCGUCGACGCUGUCUGUCAGGUCGAUACUGUUCCGUUAAUAGCUGUGCUACUCACAGGAAGCUGGCACUGCUAAUUAAAGAUGGCGGAGGUUGGGGAAGGAGGGAGUGGUUCUCUGUUGUGUUUUUGAUUUUUUUCCCCCUUUGUCAUUGUCAGAUGUGUUCACACUUCCUUGUUCUCACUUCUCCUCACUCUAAUGAAAUGUCGAACUUCCUCUUUCUGGUAUAACCGCUGUCUUUCUGCCCUUACAUUGCCUCAUGUUACACCCAGAAAGCAUGUGUGCAGACACAGUAUGGUACCAAAGGUCAUAAGAGGAGAAGAUUAAACUUACCAAGCUAAAAUAAGACCUGAUUAUCUAGUUGCGGAUUUACAUGUUUUCUGUUCAUGUAGAAAUUCCGUUACGCAUGAAUCGGCCGGUGAGAUGUUUUAUAUCAAGAUAGGUCAGAGCAGGUGUCAGCUGCGUGUACUCCACUGUAAAGUGCCUGCAAAUGCUGUUUAUUAUAAACCUGUUAUAGGCUGGUGUGAUGUAGAUUUUUCUCUGCUCAUGAUUUUAUUUAUUUAUUUUUUAAAAUUGCAAUAAAUGAUUGAACCAUCCAUAACCGAGACAGGAACAACGGUAUUUCCUCUUUUUCAGGUUUAAGGACAGUAGGGGAGGGUGUAAUUAUAUAAUCAGCCGUACACUCAGUGGUACAUUUUUGUAUUUAAUCCUUACACAGUAUAAUAAAAAUCAGGUAUGUAAUGUCCACAUGGCCGACAUUGUUACUAUUGAUCUGCUGCUUAUUGUAUUGAAUGUGUGUUGAAGAGCAAAAAAAAAAAAAACAACCCCAAAAACAUAAUUAAACACUUUUUAAUCAUCACCAUUAACACUAUUUGUAAAAUUUCUUUUUAGGUCAAUUUUUUGUGCUUUUUUCCACAGUUUGCGACCAUAAUUUUGCCCAAAAUCUAGAUUUUAUUUUAAUAUGAACAAACUCAAAACAGUUUUAUAUUUACCUUUAUAAAAAGCGAGCACUGGAGUCCAGAGAGCCCCAAAAUCAUGUGAGAUUGGGGGAAGGGGGCGGGGCUUCUAGGUGUCACUCAAUAUCACACACCUGUGCAAAUUAUUCCAGCUGCGUAUGACAAUUGUGUCAUCUCCUGUGUUAUUGAUAAAGACUGCUCUUUGAGUGUUUUUUGAAUGCUAAAUUGCAAUGGUUGGUGGGUUUGGUAAUAUAUAAUCAUAUGGAAUUAAAUUUGUGCCAAAAGUAUUGAACAUAACUUUCCAAGAAACGAACAAUAUGCGCUGAGAAAGUAGAAAAACACUCUGAAACUGAAAACACUGAACUCGGUGGCAAAAAUGUAACACGGUCUUCAAAUAAACAGCCUUCUUUGUUAACGGUUUUCGAAGCUUCGUUUUCGCUAAUUAUGGUUUAUGUAGAGUUUCCGUUUACGCUCCGCAAGUUUACGUUUGCCAUUCUAGCAGAAAUCUCACGUGUGGGUGGGGCUUAACAGCAAUUUACUCUCAUUGGCUAAUGAGAUUUGGCUUAUAAUUUAAACUGCAGCAUUACCUUUUUUCCCCCCAGUGUCACAAACGACUCAUCCAACGAUCCGUUCUAAAGGAUUCAUUCUAAGCUCCUCCUUUCAGAGAGCAUACUCUGCUCUGAUUGGUCAGAUGUCCCAGUCUGUUGUGAUUGGUCUACCGCUGUCAGCGUGUUUCAAAAAGGAAACGCCCACUACCAUAAUGAGUUUCAGCUCCAUCUGUCCUCGAGCAGCCAAUGAAGACCAGAGGCGGGGUUUAUUGUUACAAACCUACGUAGGUUAGUACAGGAAAUAAGUCUGGAAUCACUAACGACUCGUUUCAGCUGUUCAGAAUCAGUUCCUUCUUUGAGAGAUAAUAACCCCGUUUGUCGUGCGCUUUGCAGAUUUUUCACCUUCACAAACAGCUACAUAACACUACAUGAAAGGUAAUAUUUGAAAAACCAUAAUAGGUGCACUUUAAUAUGGCUUAUAAAUAAGAACGUUUAUAACAAUUAGCAUUUUGGGGUUCUAUUUAUUAUAUUUAUGUAUUGUUUUUUCAGUAAUGUAAAACGUAACUGUGAGGAAUAACGUACAAUUUAACAUCUUGUUACUCCGCUGACUUUCUCCUCUAGGGCUCUCUGAUCUCUGAUGAGAUGAUUAUUCCCAGUUACAGUAACAAGUGACCAGUUUUAUUUGAAAUAAAAGCAUAACAUACUUGAAAUACUUGCGGAUUUAAACGGAUCUUUCUCUCUACCUCGUUAUCUAAACUGCACUAAAUCAUUCAGUGCAGCCAAAAUGAACCAGGCUUAAAAACGUAAAAAAUGAACUCUACCUUCCUCGUUACUAUACUAUGAAAUGACUGCACAUAUUUCAGUACCACAUCAAGAACGAUGAAGCCCCAUGAAUGAAAUUUAAGGAGUCUUUAAAGUUCAACCAGUUAGUAUAUAUCACUCACCAAGUACUGGGUGCUUUCGUUUGUGCAUCUCGACCGUGGUCUGCUAUGAGAUAAGGUAUCUCUGCUUUUACUUUCACUAAGGGAUCAGAGUUUCUGGUUCUCUAUGCAGGCGCUAGAGAGAGCGAGAGAGAGAGAGAGAGAGAGAGCGAGAGAGAGCGAGCGAGAGAGAGAGAGAGCGAGCGAGCGAGAGAGAGAGCGAGCGAGAGAGAGAGCUCGGUUCACCCUCUUGUUUUCUACAGUACCAGUCAUGUUCACAUGAACGCAGUGUGAAAUGACAUUAAACCAUCCCCCCCCCCCCCACAUUCAGCUUUGUUUAACUUCUGAUCUAACAAGAAGGCUGUAUGUUGCAAGUGUUACCUGUCAGUCUUUUUUUUUUGUUCCUUAAAACUGCCUCUGCAUUGUCAGGUCUGAAAACAGUGUACAUGCUGCAUUACAUGGUGUAUCAGCGCUGCAUAUCAAUGGCUUCACUGUGGUAUUACCCAGGAAUGGAGGCCUGUGUGCACGUACAUGUCUGUUAUUUGUUAAUAAAUAGCUAGUUGAAUAUAAAAAUCACAGAUGAUCGUUUUUCAUGCAUGCAUCCAUCCUUUUCCCAUACCGCGUAUCCUCACAGAGUCACGGGGAGCCUGGAGCCUGUCUCAGGACUCGAGGCACGAGGCAGGGGGACACCCUGGACAGGGUGCCAACCCAUCGCAGUGCACAAUUGCACACACCCAUUCACACACUACGGAUAAUUUGGAAAUCCCUAUCAGCCUACAAUGCAGGUUUUUGGACUGGGGAGGAAACUGGAGUACCCGGGGGAAACCCUCCACAAACUCCGCACACACCGGGCAGCGAAGGGUGGGAUUCAAACCCCCAACCCCAGUCAUUCGAGCAAACAUGCUAACUACUAAAGCCACCGUGCCCCCUGAUCGUUUUUCAUAAUUGAUUUAUUGGACUAAUCAUUGCCUGAAACUAGUAUGAAACUGUCUUUAACAACGUAUAAAUGUUUCACUGUUACAUUUAACGUUUGGGAGAAUAUUUGUAAACCAUAAUAGUACUGACACACUUGCGAUAGACAUAAAAUAAACAUCCAUGGUGCGUCAGGCUUUUGCACGGAACACACCGGGGAGAUCAUGGUGCAGCAGGAAGCUUUGCUGCCUCUCAGGAUCCCUAGAUUUUCAUCCUGAGCUCAGAGCUCCGGUUAUUGAGUGUGCAGGGUUCUCGCCUUGCAACACUGUAUACCGUAUAAUGGAUAUAGGAACGCUUUUGGGUCGUACACAACAUUUUCCAGAGAAACAGGAUGUUUUAUCAGCAAAAUGGUUCUGAACAUAGCCUAGCUAAUGGUUUUUAGCUCAAAUUUAAUCACCUGUCUGUUUAUAGAUGCGUUAUCACUGGUGUGGUGCGCUAGAAGUCUGGAAAGAUGUCGGAUGUCCCUACAGCUGAAUUCUGGAGCACAGUGAUGUGUUUUUUUACACAAUGUUACAGUUUGAAGUGGUCGGCUUGUUGGAUAUCAGUUCAGUUUGUGAUCAGAUAACAUCGAUGCUGCUGCGCCAUCACAUCAUCAGCAAUACAGAGAAGAGCGCUUACACGGUCUGUACAGAUGACAGCGGGCAAAGAACAGAACUGACCGCAUUAAUCAGCGAUUAUUUCACUACCUGUGCAAGCAUGAACGAAGAGCGCGAUCUCUUAUGUUAAGAGACUGAUGCGAAAGAUGCUGAUAAUCAAAAUGAGAACUCAUUAAAUAGGUUAGGUUACAAACAUAGGGCAUCUUUCAAAUGUCACAAUAUGACUUGCAGGACUGUAGAAAAGUCUUAUGCUCACGCAAAGAAAUGCUGUAGACAAAAGAUGCGUUCAAAAAUAAUGAAAUGAAAUGUUUCCUAAAAGUAUUAAAAAGAAUACUGUAAAGAGCAGUAAGAGAUGAAACAAAGGAGAUAUAUUUGGUGUGACGACGCUUUGCUUUAAUAGUUUCAGGUAGAAUUAGUGUAGUUUUAUAAGAAAAUGAGCUAUAAGUUUUAUUGAGCAUCUUCCAGAACCAGACACAGUUCUUCUGUGUUUUCUGUCUGAGACGUGUCUCUUACCACUUAAUAUCUUGCUUUCUUUAAUGACAUGCAAACAUUUUUCUGUAACAUUUAAUUUUGUGCUGGAAAACUAAUGUUUGGGAAUUAAAUUUUUUUUUUAUACUGACUCAGUAAUGUAGAAGUUAUAAAAUAAAUAAUCUAUACUAAAGUUUGUACUAAAGAAAAAUAGGGUGCUUAAACUUUUAGCAGGGGCACACACACUAAAGCUGUGCUCGUGCCACGUCGUAAUUACCGUAAGUACGAGAUUCUGACUUGUCAAAAGCGUUCACAUCUUCAUAGAAGUCAUAAUUACUACUAAACUAUGAAUUUUCUGAGAGCUCCGACUUCGCUGCGACGUCAUGUGGAAACACUCGAGCAGUUAUCUCGUAAUAUUACUGUGUAAUAAUUUGCAUAAUUGACCUUUUAAUGUUUUAAUAAUACAAGGUUAAUCUGAAAAUAAAUGAAAGACAUAGCACAGAGUUGGAGUUGUGGUUUAGGUUUGCAACAACACACUAUUAAUGAACUAUUAAUGCGCUAUUAAUAAACAUGUUAUUGUUACCUGAUACGCUUUCUGUGUUCUUUCAGUAUUUAGCAUUAGUAUAAAAAUGUGAUAAUGUUGUAAUUAUGUAUUUUGCAGUUGUAUUUUGGCACAUAGAAUCGCAUAAUUCCGAGUGCGAGGAUGUGACCGGCUCCGAGAAGAACGUCCGAAUUGUCGUUUGUAAUUCUGGUAAUUCCCACAUGGCAUGAACGCAGAGUGAGUUCCAGUUCACGUUCACUUUCAUUAGCCAGCAUAUGAAGAAUGUACAGCUGCUUGUCACGUGCCAGAGUAGAAAUGGAAGAGAAAGAGGCGUAGCAUCAAACAGACUUCACUGAAUAUUAAAAGUAUAAAACAAGUUUUUGUGGAAAAGAAGUUUUUUAAUAAAUAAAGAAGGCGAAGGCUGACUUCUUCCUGGCACUGUUUUAGCCAAUACUGAAUAAGGAAUUGUGAGCCGUUGCGAAGAAUUUAUCUUUCUAACAAGUUCUUUCCUGAAAACGAGGAAACUGUAUUGUUAGAAAAUCUACAAUCACAGUCUCCAGUUUACUCCUAUGUGUGAUUCGAAGAGUACCUACAGGAAACGUAUAGUGUGCUUAAUAGCACUUUCUAUCUCUCUCUCUCUCUCUAUCUGUGUGUGUGUGUGUGUGUGGCAGGUUUGCAUGUUCAAUAUGUACAUCACAACGCUCCAUCAUGACACUUUGACUCAUUUCAUUCAUCUGCCGUGCUUUUUAUUUUCAGUAUGACUGUAAUGCACCUAAACACCAGUGUGGCACAGCCUCCGCUAGUUCAUUCCAUGGUUCAGCAAGUGAACAAGUUCCUGAAAGGCUCUUUGGGGUUCUAUUAAUUUCUUUACGCAACCCAAUGAACCGUUAGACAGAUGAUUUAAAUACGUGAGCGCGUAAUUAAAGUUUCAAAUCCUUUUUUGAAAGACAUGCAGUUUAACCUUCUAGCAUCUUAAAGAAGGAGCUCUGAGCUUGUCCUGAAUGGAUCUGAAACCUUUUAUUGUAAAGUGCACCAGGUACAGCCCCAAUUCCGAAAAGUUGGGACUUUGACUUGUAUUUAAAGAUAAAAACAUACAAAGACAAGGUAUUUGAUGGUUUACCUAAUUAACUGCAUAGUUUUUUUUUUUUAAGAUAAAUGUUUAUUUUGAAAUUUAUGCAUGCAACAUGUUCUAAAGACUCACCAAUCUGCCAACAGAUGCAUCAGAGAAUAAUCCAACACUUUGAGAACAACAUUCCCCAAAGACAAAUCGGCAGGAUUUUGGGCAUUUCACCUUCUACAGUGCACAAUAUAAUUAAAAGAUUCUAUAAAGAAUCCAGUUAAAUCUUUGUGUGUAAAGGGCAAGACCAAAAACCACUUCUGAGUGAGCGUGAUCUCCGAUCCCUCAAACGUCCCUGUCUUAGAAACCGUCAUGAGUCUGGAUAUCCUGACAUGGGCUCGGGAAUAUUUUGGUAAACCUUUGUGAGUCAACACCAUUCGCCACUGCAUCCACAGAUGCAAGUUAAGGCUUUACUAUGCAAAGCAGAAGCCACACAUCAACACUGUACAGAUGCGCUGCCGACUUCUCUGGGCUCGGUCUCAUCUGAGAUGGAAUCGUGUUUUGUGGUCCGACGAGUCAUUUCAAAUAGUUUUUGGACAAAACAGCCGUCGUGUUGUCCGAGUCAAAAAAGGAAAAGGACCGUCCAAGCUGUUAUCAGCGUCAGGUCCAAAAGUCAGUGUCUGUCAUGGUAUGGGGUUGUGUCAGUGCCCAUGGCAUGGGGGAAUUGCACAUCUGUGAAGGCAACGUUAAAGUAGAAAGAUAUGUACACAUUUUGGAGCAACUUAUGCUGCCCUUCAGAGCAGGAAAAUGCCAAACAACAUUCUACUCGGAUUACAAGCGCAUGGUUGCGUAAGCAGAUAGUGCAGGUUGUAGCAUGGCCUGCCUGCAGUCCUCACCUAUCUCCGGUUGAAAAGUUGUGGCGCAUUAUGAAGCGCAAAAAAUAAGGUAACGAAGGCCCCGUACAGUUGCCCAGCUGAAGAAAUGCAUGAUGGAAAGUUCCGCUUGCUAAACUUAACCAACUGAUGUCUUCACUCCCAAACUCUUAAUAAGUGUUAUUAAAAGAAAAGGUGAUGUUACACAGUGGUAAACAGUCGACUGUCCCAACUUUUUCAUCUUGCAGUCAUCAGCUUUUAAAUGAGUGUAUAUUUCCAAAGAUAAAUUAAACUCAGUGUGUUUUCAAUAUAGUGCAGGGUGAAUUGAAUCUUCAAAUGACUCUUUUUGUUAGUUUUUUGGCAUUUUCCAUACUGUCCCAACUUUUUUGGAAUUGGGCCUGUAGAUCAAGUCAACGAAAGAGGAAAUAGGUAGAGGCGAGAGGUACAAUGGUAAAAAAGUAAAUUAAAGAAGAAGAAGUAAAAGACGAGGAUGCUUUUUUCUGCCUCAUGUAACACAACAGUUAGCAUAGAGUAACCAAUGCAAAUACACUUGCUUUCAUUCCGUUUAAAAGCCGAGAGACAUUUCAUUGUCAAAUAUUGGACAAAAACUGCUUUCUGUACACCAAGUCAUUGAGCCGAACUGUGGCAGCGAUUUAUUCAUGGCAGGUGAUUAGCAGUGACAUAGUGUUGUUAAUGCUAAUAUACAGAAUAUUCAGUAUACACAUCUUAUAAAUGAAGCAUAUGUAUCCUGGGGGGCCAUGGUGACUUAGUGGUUAGCACGUUUGCCUCGCACCUCCAGGGCUGGGGGCUCAAAUCCCGCCUCCGCCCUGUGUGCGUGGAGUUUGCAUGUUCUCCCUGCUCUUCGGGGUUUCCUCCGGGUACUCCGGUUUCCUCCCCCAGUCCAAAGACAUGCGUUGUACGCUGGAUGGCAUUUCUAAAUUGUCUUUAAUGUGUAAAUGAGUAUGUGAGUGGGUGUGGAAUUGUGCCCUGCAAUAGGUUGGCACCCCAUGCAGGGUGUCCUUGUACCUCGAAUCCCCUGGGAUAGGCUCCCUGCGACCCUGUGUAGGAUAAGCGGUACAGAAGAUGGAUGGAUACAUCCCGGUCAGGUUCAUUAUGAAUCCAGAACAUACCCCAGGAACACUGGCAGGGAGGCAGAAAUACACCCUGGUGGGACACCAUUCCAUCACACAACACCAUGCAUACACACAUUCACACCUAGGCAAUCCACCUACGCCAUGUUUUUGGGAGGUGAGAGGAAACUGAAGACCCUGGUGGAAACCAGUGUGGACACUAGGAAAACAUGCAGAACUCCACACAGAGAUUAACCUGAGCUCAGGAUUGAACCUGGGACCCUGGAACUGUGAGGCUGUAAUGCUACCUGCUGCACUAUGGUGUAAAGGCGUGUCUUAUUAACGUGAGAGAUAAGCUCUCUCCACUGUUUUUGUUUCAUGAAUCACCUGUCCCUUAUGAUACAACAUGUCAAACUAUAUAUUAACGGUAGCAGAGUUGUAGUCAUGUACGCAUGAAGAAAGUCUAUUGCCUUUUCUGUAAUUCGCAUGCAGCAACCUACAAAAAGUGUGGUUUGUUUCUAGCCUCACAAACCAGAUGUCUUAGGCAGCUGUAGCUGAGACUGUGAUGUUGUGAACUUCACAAAUUGUUUAAGCUUGGGGACUAGGUCUUGUUAAAAAAAAAAAAAAAAAUCCCAAAGUUUCCAGAAUAAUUUUCUGAGUUGCUGAGAUAAAUCCGAACUGCUCUUCUUCUGAGCAUCACUAUGACGAUGUGUAUUCUUUGUUUCAGUCAUUUUACUCUGUAGGUUUAUUCUCUAGUGGAAUAGUGAGAGGUACAUUUCCAAAAGUGUUCUUAUUCAAAACCAAUGAUAAUGGAACAGAUACUUUUAGGAUAAAUUUCCCUCACUUUUAUGAAUGGAAAUGUUUAGAAAUAGAUGUUUAAUGGAAACUGUGACUUCUCCCUCACUGUCUGUGACUAAACGCUGCAGUAUUUCUCAAACGCUCAUCAGUUGAAACACAGACAGAGGAAUGCUAGCUGAGUGGGAGCUAAAGAAAUAAUCAAAUACAGCCAAGACAUUUUUUCCUUGCACAUAAUAUCUGAAUGAAUUUCUGAGAAAGAAAGAGAGGGAUAAUGUUUUAAACAAUGCUGGAUUGUCACCUUGGCCUCAGAUCUAAAUGUGCCACAGACUUACCACCAUGGCAAUGUCACCUACAACAAUGCUAAUGCUAGAGCUAACAAAUUGACAUGUGGAUUAAACUUUUUUGUUUUUUUAACACAUCUUAAUAGUUCUUUAGUCAGACCUUACACUUAAGCAUCCACAACACAGGACAAAUAGUUGGACUGUGAUGUAAUUUUUGCAUGCAGUAACAGCACAGGUAAUCAGAUGUUAAAUUAAAUAUGAAUUGUUAACUGAAAUGCUUUCUGGUGAAAAGUCCAAAAAGAGGCAUAAACAGUCAUGGAAAGACUCAUGAAACAGAUGCAUCUUACUACUGAAUAGGCAUUGUUUCUCUGUGUGGUUUUAACACAUUUAAAACAAACACAAUUAAAAAAAACAACAACAACAUUAUAUUCUUUAUGAAUCUAUACAUCUACUCCAGAUCAAAACGAGAGAAUACCAAAAAUAUUACUUCAAAAAUUUUAAUUAAUAAAUUAGACGAAGAAAAUUAUAACUAGGGAAACAGGAAGCCCAGAGAACAACAGUUUCAUUUGCUUUUCUUCCACUUUUCAUUAUUGUGUUUACCGUGCAAAGGCACAAGCAAACAUUAUUAUUAUUAUAAUUAUUAUUAUAAUUUAUUUUUUAAAUUAUUAUUAUUUUUUUAAUCGGUCCAUUUGGCGUAGCAGCUUUGCGCUGGGAGAUGGCACUUCAGGUAUUCUAAUCACUAGCAAGCAUAUCAGCAGACCUGCCAACUUGUAUACAUGUUGCUGAUUCUGACACAUGUGUAGCUUCUGAGUAUGUACAGUCAUGUAAAAAAUAAGUACACCCCAUGGAAAUUGCUGUCUUUUUGGACAUAUUUGGACAAGCAAACAGUUGAUCAGCUGUGAAACAGUGCGUACACCCAUGGGUGUACUUAUUUUUUCACAUAACUGUAGUUAACGUCAGUUACUGUGUUUAUUUAGGAUGCAACAGAAAAAUCUUGACUGAAAAUAGUCAAAAAUAGCUGAAAGAGGAAAUAAAAACUUCUAAAUAGGUCUACAAUGACCUAAAAUCGAACACGUCACAACCUGUAAUCUUAUUUCUAACUUACGCAAGUGCUUAGUGAUAGGAAUAUAUUGAAAAUGUUCCCCCAGACAUCACCACUAACCCCCAGUCCAGAACUAUGCAUUGUUCCUCUUCAGGGAUGGCAGGUGUGUAUCAGAAAGAACCAAGGCCUUGCCAGACAUCUUCGAGCCACAAGUAGGACUCUGGCCUAGUUGCUGAAAAUAGAGAGAGAAAGACAUGCAAUACAACCCUUGGCAAAAAUGAUGGAAUUAUCGUACUUGGAGGAUGCUCAUCCUGAUUUUUUCACUUCGUAGCAAAGAAACAAAUCACAGAUAUGACACAAAGCAACUUUUGUUUAAUAGCUGAACCUUCUGGCUUCAUGAAACAUACCUCAAAAAAAUUAAACGAAAUUGUUUUAUUUAAUGGCAGAUUUUUUUCCCUCAGAUCAAGUAGAGGAAUAAAUGAUAGAAUCACUUAAUGUUGAGGAGGAAAAAAAUUAUGGAAUCAUCAACAAAAAACAAUCACAAUUAGUACUAUGUUGCUCCUCCUUGGGCUUUAAUUAUGGCCUGAAUUCUUUGAGGCAUGAGCUUCACUAAUGAAAAACAGUAUUCUCCAUCAAGCUGGUUGUAACUCUCUCGAAUAGCGGUUGACAGAUCAGCUUUGUCAUGGACCAAUUUUUAAAUUUCCACCAGAAAUGUUCAAUCAGAUAGAGAUCCGGACUGUUUGCUGGCCAGGUCAUUGAGUUUAUCUGCCUUUCCUGAAGAAAAGCUUUAACACUUUUUGCUCUGUGGCAAGAUGCAUUAUCAUCCUGAAAAAUGAUUUCAUCAUCAUCAGACCUAUUUUCUAUCGAUGGAAUGAGAAAAGUGCCCAAAAUUGUAAUCUACACCUGUGCAUUGACUGUUGAGGUUAUCCCUGGUCCUUCACCUGACAUGCAACCCCAUAUCAUAAACGAGUGGGGAAAUUUUAUUGUUUUCUUCAGGCAGUCAUCUUUAUAAGUUUCAUUAGAACGGACAUAUCUGCCAUUAAUUGAAGGAAUUUAAUUUAACUUGUUUGGGGUUUGUUUCAUGAAGCUAGAAUGUUCAGCUAUUAACCAAAAAAUAGUUUUGUGUAUCUGUGAUUUGUUUAUUUGCCACUAAGUAAAAAAAUGUCGCGUGAAUAUCCUCUAAGUGUGAUGAUUCCAUAAUUAUUGCCAGGGGUUGUAGAUGGCAGGGCCAGUCAUGGGCUAGGGAAAAACUUUGUCUGGACAGUGUGUUUGUGGCACCAUUGUACAGAUCCAGCAUAUGAGUCGUCUUCAGUUAUUCUAACAGCGGGACUACCUCAGGAACUUCUGCGCAUGGCUAAGAGAGCCGUCCGACCUCAUGCCGCCUUAAUGAUUCAUGUGAAUAGCAUAUUAAAGCGACGUCUAGCAUUCUCGAUGAAUGAUCAAGGAUUGAUCAUCUUCAAGUCGUCUGUUUUGAUAUUCUGAAGUUCUUUUCUUGUUUAAAUACGCCAGUAUUCUGAUGCUUCUGGCCAUCAGAGGAGACUGGGUCGCCUGCAUACAUCUCGAAGACACACGUGGCACUAGAGAGAGGUUGAAGAGUAGAGCUGAAUUGGAAUGCCUGUCCAUGGAAGGCAGCUCUCAAAAAGCAUCUGUGUUCUGGGGCAAUGAGAAAUGGAAAUAUCUAAAUCCACUGACGUCAUGUGCUUAUGUGGCAUGAAUUAUAUCUAGCAUCUCUAACACACAGAAGGGGCAAGCUUUUAAUAACCGGUUCGGCCCUGCGAACAGAAUUGGAGGGAAACCAUCAUUCUUCUUCUGAAUUUUAAUGUAGAUUGAGCAGGACCCUUCGUUCUAAACCAGAGAUUUUGCCGGUGUUCAAGAGGAAUUCAGAGCGGGGUGAGAGUGGCCAUCUUGUUAAGCUUGUGUAAGGCGGAUGGGGCCUUUGUGGCUAUAGGAACAGAGGACCAGGUUACGUUGACCAAUCGGUGCUGCAUGGCUAGUAUGUUCGCCAGUGAUGGUUUCUCUAGGUGUACUCACACUAGGCCCGGUUGCCUUGAACCAUGCCCAAGCACGACUGCCAACCCCCCCCCCCCCAAAACACUCCCACUGGCCUGCACUCACAUUGCACUUAACGUUCUUGGCCUGAGUACAUUUACUUCAUUACGAUGCACCUUUGUUUUGAAGAAAACAGGAAGAAAAGCGCUCUCUUGCAUUAUGAUUUAUGUGGAGUCGUUUGGGGCCUGGUAACACACGGCCCUCUCAUGUGCCUAAUGGAUUGUCUAAUAGAUUUAUCAGUUAUGCAGCGUAGUGAUUUUCACCUAAUCGUGCUGCACAUUUCAGAAGAUUUUUACGGAGGCAGGUGAUGUUGACGGAAGAAUUUACAGUUUUACUCGCCGACAACAAUUCCCCUUCAUCAACAAUGUGAGAACCAGACCCGUUAUAAACCCAAGUGUUCUCGAACAGAACAGUCACGUUUCGAGUUCUGUGCUUGGCCGGUUAGUAAUCACACUAGAUGUGUACCAUGCCUGAGUCCAACUCUUCAAAGGGGCCUCUGUGAGUGUGAGUACACCCUUAAUUCUGAAACCCAUGCUCUCCUUUCCAGGUUCUAUUUUGCACCAGGUCCAAAAAGUAGCCCUGGCAAACAGAGCAGAUUUUGCAGGGUUUAUUUAUACAUUUGAAUUUAGACUGUGCUAACUACACUUGCCAUUGUGCAUAAAGCAGGUUGGCUCAGAAAUGCACUGUGUCCUGUCCUAGGUGUCACAAUGCCAGAAGUGAGGUGUCAGUCAGCAACCUCAUGACCAGCGUCUACAGAUUAGAGUGGUUGUACCAAUUCUAGCAGUAGAAGUGACUAGGUAUAUACCAUACACAAUACAAUAGGUUCUCACUAGAAGAUCAUCAGGGUUGGAUGCAGCACAUGUCGGGGCACAGAGAUUUGUCAAUGUCAAUGGUAGUUUUGUGACCCAGACUGACCUGCUUGUGUUGAGGUGUAAUUUAAAAAAAAACUUCUCUAAAGCUGUCAAUAAAAUUAUGUAAUAAUUUUUUUUUAAACAGUGUCUUAUGGAAUUUGAUUGUGAACAGCAUUGUUCAAAAGACUGCAUGUGUUGCCACUGGCUGCAUGUCACUAUCUAAUCCCACUUGAGCCACCGCCACUUUGAGGGUGGCUGUCACAGCUAGAUUAGAGUUUAUCAGCAGUGCAUGUGAGCUGACAGAGGUCUAUGCAGAUUUGUUUUUGGACGUUACUGAGGUCACAGUCGAACAAGGUGAUUCAACUCCCAAGACAUUAUCAGCCUGGAAUAACCUUCCAGUCAUUCCGGUAGACAUAGCGUCCUCCCACUCCUUGGACGAGGACCGAAGGAAUGCUGGCCAUUGGGCUAUAAGGACAGCUCUUUUGAAGGACGUGAUUCCAAACAUCCCAUUCUCGGUUCCAGAAUAAUCAGCUAAGCCAUGCUGCCAGGUCGUCCAUAUGCCUAGCAAAUGACUCAGGUUGCUUUCUUGUGUUCUGUGCUAUGCUUAUCAGUCGUUGCCGGAUGUGGGCGAAGGUCUUGGCGCCAAAGGGGGUCGUGGUAGCUCAGGGGUUAAGACAUUGGACCUCUGCUCAGAAAGACAGUUCAAAUCCUGCCACCACUGGGCCCCUGAGCAAGGCCCUUAACCCUCAGUUGUAUAAAUGAGAUAAAUGUAAGUGGCUCUGGGUAAGGACAUCUGCCAAAUACAAUUAAAAAAUGUAAUAAAUAACUAAAAUGCUAUGUGUGCAUUUAGUGUAUAUGCUUCAGGUGCACUGAUGUGUUGGUUAUCAGUUCCAUAUGCAGUUUUCCUCAGGUCAUCUCCACUAUUCAGCCAUAGCAUUUUGCCUAGUCUUGUAUGAAAUGUUAGAUUUGUUAGUAGUUAUCAGGUAGCGGUGAAUGGUUUGGCCAAGUAAAUUGUUCUUAGUCACCAAGUCUAUUAAAAAUUUCCUCAAUUAACUCCAUGUAGAUAUUAGGUUUUUUUAAUCAGUAAUGGCACAAAUGCUGAACAACUCUCCAUAAAGUAAAAUACAGACAAUGAAAUUGAUUAUUUUUAAUCAUUAAGAUCUUCCGAAUGGUUCAUUGUGCUUAAUGGUUAGCACGUUCGCCUCGCACCUCCGGGACCGGGGGUUGAAUCCCGCCUCCGCCCUGUGUUCAUGGAGCUCGCAUGUUCUCCCCGUGCUUCAGGGGUUUCCUCCGGGUGCUCUGGUCUCCAGUCCAAAGACAUGCGUUGUAGACUAAUUGGCAUUUCCAAAUUGCCAGUAGUGUGUGAAUGUGUGUGCAAUCAUAACGAAAUGAUAUGAUUCUGUGUUGUUCUCAACAGAGAUUUAUGCGCCUCAAGAUUGUUAUACAGUUGAUAAGUGGCACAUGCGAUAGCUAGUGUGCAUAAACACCACCUGAUAUCUGUCCACCUGAUGUCAUGUCUCAUGGGAGUUAAUAAGAUUAAAGUUAUACAAGUUUAAUCAUUAGCCAGGGAGAGAGAGAGACCCAUAAGAGACCAGGGACCUGGGUGGCUGUUAAUGUGUGUGUGCAUGUGUGUGUGUGCGUGUGUUUGUGUGUGUGUGUGUGCGUGCGUGCGUGCGUGCAUGCGUGUGUGUUUACCAUAUCACUGCAGUCUGCAUUGAAGAAUACCUCAAGGGACUGAAGGAAAGCACUACGUAGUUUCUCACACAGCCCCUCUCAAUUUUCUUUUCUUUUUUAAAAAAAAUACCUUUCUUUCCUUCCUUCUUUCUCUCCUCCCAUUCCUCCCUCCCUCCUCUCUUUCCGUCUCUCUCUCCUGCUUCCCCCAGAGGUGCUGUGACAACACUUCCUGGUUGGUGCUAGUGGGCAGGGUUAUGCUUGCGCAUGAUUGGUCGCUUAACUGGAUGCUCUGCGCAGUACUGUUGUGCCGUUAGACUGCUGUUGCUGCUCUCCUGCACUCUCUCUCUCGUGCGCACGCUCUUUCUCUCUCUCUUCCUCCCUCGCUUGCUUUUACUCUCUUGCACUACUGAGGUGUUUGGCUCUCACACGCACACAGAGGGGUACGCACAGGGGCUCGCUCACAUUAACCAGUAAACACAUCUACAUGCAGUGGAGCAGCGAGGAGCCAGAUACAUGUUAGGUUAGGAAACACACUCUCUCGCUCUCUCUCUCUCUCGCUCACUCGCUCUCACUCUCGCACACUCUCUCUCUCUCUCUCUCUCUCUCUCUCUCUCUCUCUCCCCCCCCCUCCCUCCCUCUCUCUCUCUUUUUCUGAGAACGGUCCAGCUGGUGCCUGGGGCUCUGCUGUCGCGGCCUGCUGCCUGCAUCUGAUCACGAUCUCUCUCUCACAUACACACACACACACACACACACACACACACACACACACAAACUCGCGCACAGAGCUGGCUCACAGGGAAGCACAAUGUGAGAGGUAAGGAUUUCCUUCCUUAUUUUAGUCCUAUCUCCUUGUUACUUCCACAGCAAAGCCAGCUGCGGCAACAGAAAGCCUUCAGGCAGUGCAGGACUUUCUGAGUGUGUGCGUGCGCGCGUGCGUGUGUGUGUGUGUGUGUGUGUGUGUGUGUGUGUGUGGGCUAUGUUUGGAUUUCCAUGGAGGGCUACUAGUCUGCUACACACAGGAAACAGGUCAAUUUAAUAGGUUAAAGCUGUCACUCCACACAGACACACAAGUGUGUGUGUGUGUGUGUGUGUGUGUGUCAGGAAGCAGGGUGAAGAUGUGACCCAGCUUCUGUUUUUUUUCUUGUUUAGACUAAAACGGCACGUGGCUGGUUAAACGUUGAGCCGAGGAGCUUUUCUCUCUCCUUCUCUGUCCUUGUUCUGCCUCUGUCUCUAUCCGUCUCUUGUCUGUAUGCUUGAAGUGUGUGUGUGUGUGUGUGUGUGUAUGUGUGUGUGUUUUUGCAUACACUCUGCGUGCUGAGCUUCCCGCCCCCAAAAUGUAAAUUACGUAUGACAUGUCUAGUUGGUGCUUCCUAAUAUGGGGUGCGCUGCGUUUCAGCAGGAUCCUGCCAGCCACUCUAGGAUUCCACCGGGGCGUGUGAGACAGAGUGUGUGUGUGUGUGUGUGUGUGUGUGUGUGUGUGUGUAUGUGUGUAUUUGUGUCAGCGUGAGCGAGACCAUUAGUUGGAGGCUAGAGAGAGAGAGUGCAAGAGAGGGAAAGAGAUGUCUAUGCAUGGUUUUCGCUUCUCUUCGAGUGCGUCACUCCUCUCGAAAGACGCCAUGUAAGUAAUCUGUAUUGAGUUUUACACUAAUACCUGCGAGCGUGAACAAACCUGUGAGCUUGAGCUUUCAGGGUUUUGUUGGGUUUUUUUCCGGUGGUAUCCUGCAGCGUCAGACUAAACCAUGAUCUGUUUGUUCCCAAGCUCCAACGUCUUGUUAUUACUCUUAUCGAUGAAAAAGUUCUUCAUUUCCAUAUGUGGGUUUUAAAUCAGUAGAUGGUGUUAGGAGUGUAACAUCAUACAGAAGACGUGUGGUUGGACUGGCGUUGUGCUUUGAUGGUUUUGAACUAGUACGUGAAGCUUUUUAUUAGGGUUUAAUGUUCACUCAAUGCAGGCGAUAUCAUAAAGAUUACAGCCUGGGAGUGGUGUGUUGUGUGCCAUGCUUUAAGAAGGACUGGGAGCGGUGUGUGUGAAAGAGAGUGUCGCACUUUACAGGGAAAAAGCGAAAGUUUUAAGGAAGUCCUGUCACGUGCUGUUGGAGGGAGACGCACUCACUCCGGGCGUGAACGCCUGUCCUGCAGCCCAGUCCAGUUAACACUCGGUUUCCGCUACACUCGGAGUAAACCAUUCCAAAACAUCCGUAACCGAUCUCGAAGUACAAAGGAAAACACAAAAAACGGAAUAACGGUGCGCAUCGACCGUAUAGAACAUAACAAAACCACAUCCUGUUCACCAUAGAUGAUUUUCAGACGUGUCGAGGUGUUGAUUUAUUGUUGGUUUAUACACAGAACCAUGCGUCACCUUCACAGGCGAAUUUUCAGGUCAGAGUUUUAUGGCGGAGUGUACGGUACGGGGUUAGAGGUUCCAUAAUGCGAAAUGAGUAGAUUACGACCCACAAAUAAACGUAGAGAGAUUCACAAAACGUAAACAAAUUCACAAAUAAAUAGAUUGAGAUCCACAAAUAUAUGUUAGGAGUUUCACAGAGAUGAAAUAAAAUGAGAUUUGCAAAAAAAAAAAAAUGUUUUUACGUCACAAACACAACUCUGCCUUGCAUUCAUUUGUGGAUUGCUGCACACAUUUGUGUUUUGAAACAUUUCUAGUGUCAAGAGUGCACACAAAUCCACAAAUAGUUGGACUCCGCCCACCGUCUACUCAAGCCAAUCAGAUAACCGCCACAUUGCACUGACCGAUCAUAGUAUGGUCUCGCUCCAACCAAUCAGGUUUGUUUUUACAGGAAAGGAGUCAUGCUGCGUAUAUAAUCUAACAGCAUCGUUAUAAAAACAUGUAAAAGAAAACCAGCAACGUUAUGGGUCAUCAGUGCACAGUUAUUAUUAAUGCACCAAUGUAUCAGCCGUUAAAGCCUAUUUUUCACGCUAUCAGCUGAUACUUUAAAAACAUCCGAUGUUCAGGGUCGAUUGUAUCCAGUCAAUAAAAAGAAAGCGGGAAAAGACACGAGUUUCGUGCUGUGUGUAAAGAUGAUGUGUUUUGUGUAGAAUGAUGACAAAACUGCAGUUUGUAAGCUCUGUAAUCUCUGCACUGCUAAAAAUUUACACCGGAAGUGAACAGCAGUGAAGCGGGAGUUUCGGCGUCUAGUCUUUUUUUUUUUUGCCGCACUGCUCGAGUUGAAUUAAAGGGCCAGUACACCAUUGAAAGAUUUAAAUGCAGAUGAGUUAACAAAAAGUAUAUAUUGCACAGAAAAAUAUAUUUGUAGAGUAGUAUAUUUCAUAUCCAGUUAAUGUUAAUAUAUAAAAAGUCUAUAUUAUAUAUGACCAGUGUGAUGUUCAGUGAUGAAGUAGAAAUGCUUGUGUUUGUGGUGAGUGAAUGUGAGACUAACAGGAGGUUUUUUAGAAUUCAGUCAAUGUUAAUAUGAAUUAAUAACAUUCAGUAAGUUCAGAAAUCUUACUUUAAUCUUCAGAAUUUAGUUAAUGUGUUAAUGUUAAUUAGAGUAAUGUGUUUUCUGUUUAUGAGACCAGUUACUGUGGAAAAAACUUGUUCAAAUGGAGAGAAUAAAGUUUUUAUUUGCAUUUUUUUCAGAAUUGUGGAAUUAAUUGUUAUUCAUUUAAAAGAAGGCAACAAAGGCGGAACUAUCGGUAUGGGUAUCGGCCGAUAUCACUCUGAAUAAUCGAUUAUCAGUAUCGGCUGAGAAAUUUAGUAUCGGUGCAUCUAUAGUUAUUAUAGAUGAGUGGUCUGAUGGAAUAGUAAUGAUUGAGUCACUGAUUCAGUAAGGAUUCGUUAGACUGAUUCAAACUGGUAACUCCUACGGUCUGUGAAUCUUUUAGAACGAUUCGUUUAGAGAAUGUAAAGAUAAGUGUCUUUAACCCGUGAAUUUAAUGAUGAUGGACACGCUGUGUUUUGACAUGCAGCCUCCGAGGACAACAUUUUUUCCCCGAUACACAGUCGCUACACUCGAUUUACUGUAAAAUCACAACUCUGGUUUCACCGUGGAUUCGGUAGAGAUGCAGGAAACACUGGUGAAAACACAAAUAUUCCCUAGGGUUAGAUAAAUAAAUAAAUCUAUAAAAUAAAGACUGAAAGCAUAACAUUGCUUGUUUUCUUUUAGCCGUUGUCACAGUGCUGCUCUUAUAUGGUUAGAACCACUCUCCUGUCGUCAUUCCUCCUGAUCGACCAUGUUGGAGAGCCUUCAUAACCUGCGAGUUCGGUGCAAUAUGACUCUGUUCUCGUCCUGAUCAUAAAUCACAACAUGAUCGGUUGGAGCGAGACCGUGUUACGAUUGGUCAGCGCAAUGUGGCGGUUAUCCGGUUGGCUUGAGUAGACGGUGGGUGGAGUCCAACUAUUUGUGGAUUUGUGUGCACUCUUGAUGCUAGAAACGUUUCAAAACCCACGCGAUCCACAAAUGAAUGCCAGGCAGUUGUGUUUGUGAUGUAAAAACAUAUAUUUGUAAAAAAAAAAAAAAAAAAUGUCGCAAAUCUUAUAAAAUUGUAUUUUUUGUGAAUUUAUGAAAUAAAUUUUUGUGAAACUCCUAACAUAUAUUUGUGGAUCUCAUUCUGUUUAUUUGCGAAUGUGUUGAAUAUUUGUGAAUCUCGCUAUAUUUAUAUGUGGAUCGUACUGAAACUCGAACCCGUAGGAGUGAUGUAUUAUGGGGAAAUAGGUAAUGUGCUGUUCGGACUCUGUGCUGCGAGCGCAGUGCUGUUCUACUGAAUUGAAUGUGGAUUGUAACGUGAGCGUAUGAACAGUGCCUGUUCCGUGUAGUGAGAACGUCAUAACAUUACUGUUUUGUAUUCCAGCGGAACACAAGUGUGUAUAGUGGUAGGUGGAUUCUGGCCUGAUUCAGAUGAAAUGAGUUCAUGCUGGCUUUUUUAGGACUUGAAUGAUGCAGCAUGUUUUUGCCUUUCUUCUCCUUUCUUCUUUUUUCCCCUCUCUGCAUUGUGUUGCACAGUACACAGUACCUGCAGGUGUACAUGCCUCUGUACGUGUGUCUAGAUACAGUGGGAUGCAUGGUCGGAGAUCAGAGACUGAGACAGAGACUGUCCACUUUACAACAUUUGCACUUCUGUUUUCUGUUCUGAUUUGUACUUUUGCGUCACAUUUAUUUAUUUAUGUAUUUAUUUAUUUAUUUAUUUUUGUUGUCAGCGAUUCAUAUCUGUCAUGACUGUGAACAGACGCCCGCCCUGAAAUGACCUGCACGCAUCCAUCGGCACAGCAGCAGCAGAAUGAACAAACUAACAAAACGCAGAGGCUUUCACUUUCGAGGUCAGCUGAGAUCUUUUCAGCUGUUCUUGAUCAGAGCGAGAAGGUUGAGAAGUAAAAAAAAAAAAAUUUUUUAAAAAGGCCAGAUGUAUAGCCUUUAACGCUUUUGCACUUAUCGGCACUUCUGUUCUGACGUGUUGGUGUGGAAGAAGAGAAUAGAGUGAUAUGAGCAUAAGAGCUCUGUGGGGGGGGGGGGGGGGGGGGGAUGUGUGAAUGAUUUCUGGCAGUUUUUAAGAAGUGUUUACAGACCUGGAAUAAAAGCAGAUUUGCGUCGCUCGUGCUUGGAUGCAGAAGUACAUCUGGGCGCAUCCCGGUUUGAGACGCAGACGCACGACAGAGAGAUUUGUGUCUGCCUGCCAUCCAUUGUUCAUUCUUGAAAGAAAUGAACACAAAUAUUGCCGUAAUCAGCAGCACAUGUAGACAUCAUACACGCAGGGUUAUUAAAUCUAAAUAUAACUGGAAAGAGCUUUUUUUGCUUUUUUUUUUAAAGAGAAUUCUCCGUUGUUUUUCCUGUACUGUGAGAUGAAUAAAGAGUUGUUGUGGCCCCAAAAUCUGCCCUUUAGACUUCAGUUGACUUGAGUUUUAUUUAGAUGGGUUUAAACUAGAGCUGCAACAACUAAUUGAUCAAAUCGAUAAUAAUCGGUUAUGAAAAUCGUUGUGAAUGAAUCUCAUUAUGGAUUAGUUGUUCUGCGCGCGACACAGGGGAGGUUUACUCAUUACGUUACUUCUGUUCAGAAAACACGCCUCGGAGAGUAAAUACUAAAGUUGUGUCCCAAACUGUACACUUACACUAUGUACCGUGUACUCUACCGUCUAGUGUAUAAAUUUUAGAAAGGUAAUAUCAUCUCAAAUAUAACGUGAGCGGUUCCUUUACUAACCGGAAGUAUAAACCGCCUCCUAGUCGACGGCACAUGACGUCAUACACACGCCAGCAUUAGCAGACACCCAGAGUCACCAACAAUGACUUUCUUCAGUUUACUGUUACUUUUUAUAAAAAGUAAUGCAUAAAUACUAUUAUAUAAUAU